Molecule: ribosomal RNA, 450 nt
Filed under: uncultured prokaryote
Description: bacterial SSU rRNA
Rfam family: Bacterial small subunit ribosomal RNA
Source: RNAcentral
UGGGGAAUAUUGCGCAAUGGGCGAAAGCCUGACGCAGCAACGCCGUGUGAGGGAUGAAGGCUUUCGGGUCGUAAACCUCUGUCGGAAGGGAAGAACGGGCAUUGGUCUAAUAGGCCUUUGUUUUGACGGUACCUUUAGAGGAAGCACCGGCUAACUCCGUGCCAGCAGCCGCGGUAAUACGGAGGGUGCAAGCGUUAUUCGGAAUUACUGGGCGUAAAGCGCACGUAGGCGGCCUUGUAAGUCAGGGGUGAAAUCCCACGGCUCAACCGUGGAACUGCCUUUGAAACUGCAGGGCUUGAAUCCUGGAGAGGGUGGCGGAAUUCCUGGUGUAGGAGUGAAAUCCGUAGAUAUCAGGAGGAACACCGGUGGCGAAGGCGGCCACCUGGACAGGCAUUGACGCUGAGGUGCGAAAGUGUGGGGAGCAAACAGGAUUAGAUACCCGCGUAGUCC